RNAcentral lists this long non-coding RNA (216 nucleotides) under Phaseolus vulgaris (common bean). RNAcentral describes it as "long non-coding RNA (PVUL_LNC004627)". Lineage: Eukaryota; Viridiplantae; Streptophyta; Magnoliopsida; Fabales; Fabaceae. The record is from RNAcentral.
UUUCCCUCAACAGGGCCUCUUAAAAGAUCAUAGGCAGAUUUUACCGAGAAACCACUAUCCUUACCAGCCUUCCAAACUCGACUAUCUGCAGAAUUCAAGAUAGGGGUCUUUCCAUGCACUUCUUGUAACAGCUGGACUUCCUGGCAUAUUUCCCGAUCAAACAGACCUCUCCUCCAAAUUAACUUCCACUCCCAUCUAUCAUUAACCCACUCCCCA